Non-coding RNA from Dokdonia sp. 4H-3-7-5, 399 nucleotides. The record is from Rfam. Lineage: Bacteria; Pseudomonadati; Bacteroidota; Flavobacteriia; Flavobacteriales; Flavobacteriaceae.
GGGGUCGACUGGUUUUGACAGCGAGACCAAUAGUAUUGUAAGCGUGUCGAGCGCUGGAAAACAGCUCGUAAAUCUCAUUUUUCAUCUUUUUAAACGGCGAGAACAACUACGCCCUAGCUGCAUAAUCUGAAUUAUAGUAAGAUUACGCCUCGGUCUACAAGGUAGACAAGCAGGAAGUCACUCGAGAGCCUUGGUUUACGGCAAUCGAUAUAGUGACUUCGUAAAAGUAAACCUAUCCCUCGUAGGGCUUUGAUGCGAGAGAGACACCUAAUUGAAGAUAAGGGGUGCGUUGGUAGUUUCUAACCGGCAAUCUCACGAAAAUUUAAACAGAAACUACACACGUAGAAAGCAGUAAUAUUGCUUGUUUGGACGAGGGUUCGAAUCCCUCCGACUCCACUG